UGGCAGGAAGCAGGAAGCAGGAAGCAGGAGGCAGGAGGCAGGAGGCAGGAAGCAAGAAGCGGCCUUUCUUCCAUACUUAAGGGGAGAACCAGGUAGGACUCAUGGAGAUGAGGCUCUCAUGGGACUGUGGUCCCCAGAACGGGCCCCCAAGCCUCACCACGCCACCUCUGCCGUCAGCCCCAGGCGUCCAGGUGUCCGCCUGCAAGCUGAGGACCUGCCCACGCCCCGGCAAUGAAACGUCCAACACCAUAUAGUGAAUCAUCUGUUGCCUCGGCUGAUCUGUGAUGCCUCACAGGAACCUUGGCUCAGCGUCCCUCUCCCAGGUGAUUGGGCACAGCUCUUCCAAACACGCAGCCAAGACGCAGGUGGGACCCCACGGAGCCUACAAAUGAACUUUGGAAGAAGCUUCGGGAUUGUAAUAUUUCGGCACGGCCUGUCCCGUGACGCCCGCUGUCUCUCUGGUCUCCCAGGAAGACUCCACAGAGCUCUGCACAAUGAUCUCAAAGUUUUCUCAUAACUGCAUUCGUGGGAAUCCCACGGGGUGUUUGUGUUGUUGCCACUGUGAGCGGGGACCCCUGAUCUCAUUAUGUUUUCCGACCAGCUGUUGUGGGUACAGAUGAGAAUGACUGACUUGUGUGUGUCUGUUCAAUAACCAGCCUGCUACUUUCGCCAAGUUCUCCAGUGAACACUUCAGUGGCUUCUUGGUUUCCUCAGGCCUCCGAUCAGGCUGCCGGCAAAUGAUUACAAUUCUUUCCCAGAGACAGCGCAUUUAAUUCUGUUUCAUGUCUUAUUGCUAUGUCCAGGAUUUCUGGACAAUGAUAAAGAGCUCUGUUGCUGGUGUUUGUUUUUUUUUUUAAAUAAAAGUUUUUGAAC
Molecule: long non-coding RNA, 873 nt
Filed under: Neogale vison (American mink)
Lineage: Eukaryota; Metazoa; Chordata; Mammalia; Carnivora; Mustelidae
Description: Neovison vison (American mink) lncRNA (ENSNVIG00000003767.1)
Source: RNAcentral